GACGAACGCUGGCGGCGUGCUUAACACAUGCAAGUCGAACGGAAAGGCCCUGCUUUUGUGGGGUGCUCGAGUGGCGAACGGGUGAGUAACACGUGAGUAACCUGCCCUUGACUUUGGGAUAACUUCAGGAAACUGGGGCUAAUACCGGAUAGGAGCUCCUGCUGCAUGGUGGGGGUUGGAAAGUUUCGGCGGUUGGGGAUGGACUGGCGGCUUAUCAGCUUGUUGGUGGGGUAGUGGCUUACCAAGGCUUUGACGGGUAGCCGGCCUGAGAGGGUGACCGGCCCCAUUGGGCCUGGGAUACGGCCCAGACUCCUACGGGAGGCAGCAGUGGGGAAUAUUGCACAAUGGGCGGAAGCCUGAUCCAGCAACGCCGCGUGCGGGAUGACGUCCUUCGGGUUGUAUACCGCUUUCGCCUGUGCCGAAGCGUGAGUGACGGUAAUGGGUAAAGAAGCACCGGCUAACUACGUG
This 468-nucleotide ribosomal RNA is filed under the name uncultured bacterium. RNAcentral's name for it is "partial 16S ribosomal RNA". It matches the Rfam family "Bacterial small subunit ribosomal RNA", at positions 28 to 507 of the family's 1533-position model. The record is from RNAcentral.